This 65-nucleotide transfer RNA is filed under the name Bemisia tabaci. Its description in RNAcentral is "tRNA-Ser". The record is from RNAcentral. Lineage: Eukaryota; Metazoa; Arthropoda; Insecta; Hemiptera; Aleyrodidae.
UGAUUAAAAUCAAUUAUCAGUAUUUUGAAAGUAUUGACUAGGCUUAUCAUUAGUCUUUGAUUUUU